AAGAUGAAGUAUAGGGGCUGACGCCUGCCCAGUGCUGGAAGGUUAAAAGGAGGACUUAGCUUCGGCGAAGGUCUUAAUUGAAGCCCCAGUGAACGGCGGCCGUAACUAUAACGGUCCUAAGGUAGCGAAAUUCCUUGUCGGGUAAGUUCCGACCCGCAUGAAAGGCGUAAUGAUUUGGGCGCUGUCUCAACAAUAGACUCGGUGAAAUUUAAAUUCCAGUGAAGAUGCUGGGUACCCGCGACAGGACGGAAAGACCCCGUGGAGCUUUACUGUAGCUUGAUAUUGAAUGUUUGUGCUGCAUGUGCAGGAUAGGUAGGAGACUUUGAAGUCGGAACGCUAGUUUCGAUUGAGUCACCCUUGAGAUACUACCUCUGUUGUAUGAACGUUCUAACUCUGAUCAGUUAUCCUGAUCGAAGACAGUGUCUGGCAGGCAGUUUGACUGGGGCGGUCGCCUCCUAAAAGAUAACGGAGGCGCUCAAAGGUUUGCUCAGAAUGGUUGGAAAUCAUUCGUAGCGUGUAAAGGCAUAAGCAAGCUUGACUGUGAGACUGACAAGUCGAGCAGGUACGAAAGUAGGACUUAGUGAUCCGGUGGUUCCGUAUGGAAGGGCCAUCGCUCAACGGACAAAAGCUACCCCGGGGAUAACAGGCUCAUCUCCCCCAAGAGUCCACAUCGACGGGGAGGUUUGGCACCUCGAUGUCGGCUCAUCGCAUCCUGGGGCUGUAGUCGGUCCCAAGGGUUGGGCUGUUCGCCCAUUAAAGCGGUACGCGAGCUGGGUUCAGAACGUCGUGAGACAGUUCGGUCCCUAUCCGUCGUGGGCGCAGGAAAUUUGAGAGGAUCUGUCCUUAGUACGAGAGGACCGGGAUGGACAUACCUCUGGUGUACCAGUUGUUCUGCCAAGAGCACCGCUGGGUAGCUACGUAUGGAUUAGAUAAUCGCUGAAAGCAUCUAAGUGAGAAACUAACCUCGAGAUGAGAUUUCCCAUUCGUCAGAAGUAAGACCCCUGAGAGACGAUCAGGUAGAUAGGCUAGAAGUGGAAGUGUAGUGAUGCAUGGAGCGGACUAGUACUAAUAGGUCGAGGACUUAACCAAG
RNAcentral lists this ribosomal RNA (1090 nucleotides) under Oenococcus oeni. RNAcentral describes it as "bacterial LSU rRNA". It matches the Rfam family "Bacterial large subunit ribosomal RNA", at positions 1835 to 2925 of the family's 2925-position model. Lineage: Bacteria; Bacillati; Bacillota; Bacilli; Lactobacillales; Lactobacillaceae. The record is from RNAcentral.